CCCUUAGAUGUUCUGGGCCGCACGCGCGCUACACUGACGAAGUCAGCGAGCAUCUCCUACGCCGAAAGGUGCGGGGAAUCUUGUGAAACUUUGUCGUGCUGGGGAUUGAUUUUUGAAAUUCUUGAUCAUCAACGAGGAAUUCCUAGUAAGCGCAAGUCAGCAGCUUGCGUUGAUUACGUCCCUGCCCUUUGUACACACCGCCUGUCGCUACUACCGAUUGAAUGGUUUAGUGAGAUUUUUGGACUGGAACUCUCUUGUUCAGCAAUGAACGAGAGGGACUCUGGGAAGCUAUUCUAACUGUAUCAUUUAGAGGAAGUAAAAGUCGUAACA
This 330-nucleotide ribosomal RNA is filed under the name uncultured eukaryote. RNAcentral describes it as "partial 18S ribosomal RNA". It matches the Rfam family "Eukaryotic small subunit ribosomal RNA", at positions 1470 to 1796 of the family's 1831-position model. The record is from RNAcentral.